GCCGCGGGAUUUUCCGGUUGAUCCUGCCAGAGGUCACUGCUAUNGGGGUUCGAUUAAGCCAUGCGAGUCGAGAGGGUUCGGCCCUCGGCGUACUGCUCAGUAACACGUGGAUAACCUGCCCUAGGGGAGGGGAUAACCCCGGGAAACUGGGGAUAAUACCCUAUAGGUUACAGAUGCUGGAAUGCCCUGUAACCAAAAGCUCCGGCGCCCUAGGAUGGAUCUGCGGCCGAUUAGGUUGUUGUUGGGGUAACGGCCCAACAAGCCCGUAAUCGGUACGGGUUGUGGGAGCAAGAGCCCGGAGUUGGAUUCUGAGACACGAAUCCAGGCCCUACGGGGCGCAGCAGGCGCGAAACCUUUACAAUGCGGGCAACCGUGAUAAGGGAACCUCGAGUGNCUGUAAACGCAGGCUGUUCAGGNGUUUAAAACGCACCUGGAGAAAGGGCCGGGCAANANCGGNGNCNGNCGCCGCGGUAAUACCGGNGGCUCNAGUGGUGGNCGNUUUUAUUGGGCUUAAA
RNAcentral lists this ribosomal RNA (515 nucleotides) under uncultured archaeon. RNAcentral's name for it is "partial 16S rRNA". It matches the Rfam family "Archaeal small subunit ribosomal RNA", at positions 1 to 514 of the family's 1478-position model. The record is from RNAcentral.